AGAACGAACGCUGGCGGCAUGCCUAACACAUGCAAGUCGAACGCGUGUAGCGAUACACGAGUGGCGGACGGGUGAGUAACGCGUGGGAACCUGCCCUGGAGUGUGGGAUAACCGAGGGAAACUUCGGCUAAUACCGCAUACGACCUGAGGGUGAAAGAUUUAUCGCUCUAGGAGGGGCCCGCGUCGGAUUAGCUAGUUGGUGGGGUAAAGGCCUACCAAGGCAGUGAUCCGUAGCUGGUCUGAGAGGAUGAUCAGCCACACUGGGACUGAGACACGGCCCAGACUCCUACGGGAGGCAGCAGUGGGAAUAUUGGACAAUGGGGGCAACCCUGAUCCAGCAAUGCCGCGUGAGUGAUGAAGGCCUUAGGGUUGUAAAGCUCUUUCGCGCGCGACGAUGAUGACGGUAGCGCGAGAAGAGCCCGGCUAACUCGUGCCAGCAGCCGC
Molecule: ribosomal RNA, 444 nt
Filed under: uncultured bacterium
Lineage: Bacteria
Description: SSU rRNA
Rfam family: Bacterial small subunit ribosomal RNA
Source: RNAcentral